Molecule: ribosomal RNA, 543 nt
Filed under: Ascomycota sp. SB9356c
Lineage: Eukaryota; Fungi; Ascomycota
Description: eukaryotic LSU rRNA
Rfam family: 5.8S ribosomal RNA (bases 191-344)
Source: RNAcentral
CCUGCGGAGGGAUCAUUACAGAGUACCUGCCCUUCGGGGUAGAAACUCCCACCCUGUGUAUUUUAUACCUUUGUUGCUUUGGCAGGCCUGUAAGGCUUCGGCUUAGCUACCAGAACCUUCUGGUAUGUGCCUGCCAGAGGACCCUAAACUCUGAAUUAUUAGUGUCGUCUGAGUACUAUUUAAUAGUUAAAACUUUCAACAACGGAUCUCUUGGUUCUGGCAUCGAUGAAGAACGCAGCGAAAUGCGAUAAGUAAUGUGAAUUGCAGAAUUCAGUGAAUCAUCGAAUCUUUGAACGCACAUUGCGCCCCUUGGUAUUCCGAGGGGCAUGCCUGUUCGAGCGUCAUAAUAACCAUCAAGCCCUGCUUGGUAUUGGGUGCUACUGCUGUGUACGCCUUAAAAUCAGUGGCGGUGCUAUCAGGCCCUGAGCGUAGUAAUUUUUCUCGCUACGGGUGUCUGACAGAUGCUCGCUAUAAACCAUAUUUUUCUUUACAGGUUUGACCUCGGAUCAGGUAGGGAUACCCGCUGAACUUAAGCAUAUCAUA